ACUUUACAAUGCUGGCAACAACGAUAAGGGAACCUCGAGUGCCAGGUUACAAAUCUGGCUGUCGCGAUGCCUAAAAAGCAUUUCAUAGCAAGGGCCGGGCAAGACCGGUGCCAGCCGCCGCGGUAACACCGGCGGCUCGAGUGGUACCCGUUAUUAUUGGGUCUAAAGGGUCUGUAGCCGGCCGGAUAAGUCUCUUGAGAAAUCUGGCAGCUUAACUGUCAGGCUUUCAGGGGAUACUGUCUGGCUCGAGGCCGGGAGAGGUGAGAGGUACUUCAGGGGUAGGGGUGAAAUCUUGAAAUACGUGGAGGAACACCAGUGGCGAAGGCGUCUCACCAGAACGGACCUGACGGCGAGGGACGAAAGCU
This 365-nucleotide ribosomal RNA is filed under the name uncultured archaeon. RNAcentral's name for it is "bacterial SSU rRNA". It matches the Rfam family "Archaeal small subunit ribosomal RNA", at positions 347 to 712 of the family's 1478-position model. The record is from RNAcentral.